This 216-nucleotide long non-coding RNA is filed under the name Elaeis guineensis (African oil palm). RNAcentral describes it as "long non-coding RNA (EGUI_LNC053436)". The record is from RNAcentral. Lineage: Eukaryota; Viridiplantae; Streptophyta; Magnoliopsida; Arecales; Arecaceae.
GGAGGGUCGGCCGGUGAUGGACUUCGGAUGGCGUUGGGGAGGUUCGGCAGACAUCGGAGGUGAUCGAUCAUUGUAGGAAUCCAGCUGAUGGAGCCCGAUUGUCGUAGAAGCCCAUCCAAUAUCCAACCGCUAUGGAGGUUCGGUCGAAGUCUGGUUCUUGUAGAAGGCUGAAAGGAGAUCGCUUAUUGUAGAAGCUUGAUGAAGGUGGUCGACCGC